Molecule: unclassified non-coding RNA, 115 nt
Organism: Cercocebus atys (sooty mangabey)
Lineage: Eukaryota; Metazoa; Chordata; Mammalia; Primates; Cercopithecidae
Rfam family: Y RNA
About the family: Y RNAs are components of the Ro ribonucleoprotein particle (Ro RNP), in association with Ro60 and La proteins. The Y RNAs and Ro60 and La proteins are well conserved, but the function of the Ro RNP is not known. In humans the RNA component can be one of four small RNAs -- hY1, hY3, hY4 and hY5.
Source: Ensembl
GGCUGGUCUUAAUGUAGUGAGUUAUCUCAAUGGAUUGUUCACACAGUAAGUUACAGAUUGUACUCCUUAUUCCACCCUUUUCCCGCUUUUCACGACUGCGGUUGACUAGUCUUAA